AUAAGGAGGUUACUCCGUAUUGCUAUCUACAACAUUGGAUAUGUUGAAGGAUUUUUUCCAGAUGCCUACUUCAGUGACAUUGUAGUUCGAGAAGAUGGUUUGUGUGAUGCACUGAAGAAGAAGUAUUUGAAAACACUGGUCUUUUCCAUCUGUGAAAAAUACGAAGGCCCGGUGCUUCAGGAAUUCAUUUUCUCGUUUAGCUACCCCAGCACAGGUCCUGAUGAAGUUGUGAUGAUGAUGACUCGCACAGGAAGCAAAGUGAUUACAAAGUUCGAAGCAAGUGCUGUCAAAGUAACUCCUAAUCAAAUGAGGAGCUCUGCUUGUAAGAUGAUUCGGUUGAUAGUUCAGCAGACAAGGACAUACCCGGUACAAGAGGAGCAUGCUAUUGAAAUGAAGCUAUCGUUCUACGAGGAUACAACUCCUGAAGAUUAUGAGCCACCUUUUCCCAAGUAUUGUGUUAACAGUGAGGAUGUAGCCAUAUGGAACAACAACAUCUUGAAGAUGGAAGUAGGGAAUAUAAACAACAAGCACGUUGUGUUAACAUUGAAGGUUAAGAGUGCCCAGUCCUACUGCAAGAACAGUAUAGUUGAUGAUUGUUCUGACUAUGAGAUGUGCGAAUGCGAAACAUAUGGUUACACUUCAGCUCCCAAUGAUGAUACUGAAGAAGACUAUCACACGGGAAUGCUAGCAUCACCAAUUAAAGCAUGGUACCCACAAGACACUGGAACUCAAAUGACGCGUAAAAGGAAAACUGGAUUUGUGCUGGUAUCUUCUUCAAAAAAGAUCAAGUUCCUUUUGGAUUCAGGUGCCUCUCACCAUAUUUGUAAUGAUAAAGCCAUCAUGCGCAAUUUGAAGGACGUGAAGAAGGAGUACCAAGUUUCACUUGCUUCAUGUGGUGGGUUAGAGCUGAAAGCGGAAAUGAUGGGAACUGUGGUCACAAAAGAUAUGAAACUCAGCCAAGUGGGCUAUAUACCUGAAAUGGAAUUCAAUGUCGUAUCCAUUGGACAAUUGGCAGUCCAAGGUUUGAUAACAACAGGCGGGGAUGGUCGGUUCAGUGUCAUUGAUGCAAAGGAAGCGAGAGUGGUUGGUGAAGGGCAUUUACAAAGAAAAACAGAGAAAGUUGAUGGCAGAGUAUACCAUGAAUAUGUAUUCAAAUCAUUGAUCCGGGAGAUUGAAGGUGAUGAUGAGAAGUUAAUUGAACCCUUGCGGGCAGAUGAUGAUGAAAUCGAUGAGGAAGAGGAGAAGAAAUGCUGGGUAAUUGACACAGGGUGCGGGAGACACAUGAUUCCAGAUAUUAGUAUACUAACCCAAGUCAAGCGUGAGGAGGUCACAUUCCAAGCAGCAUGUGGAAUCGUGUCAUCAACCCAUAAAGGAUUGGUCAAGGAGGGAAAUCUCAUAUUGAGGGAUGUGUUGUGCUGCCCAAAAGUCACAAGAAAAAUGAUAUCAGGCCCAAUGUUGGAUUUAAGCGGCCAUAGGUUCACUUUUAACGAUAAGAAAUGCUGCAUAGUGCACAAGGAUGGGUUGGAGCUGAGAGGGGUUGGCAAACUGGAUAGGGCGACUAGAACGUACUUUUAGAAACCCGGUGAAGACAGUAGAGCAGCAGCAGCAGCAAAAGAGGAGCCAAAGAUGUUGGCAACAGCAGCAGAAGGAUAUGGUGGACCAAAACAAGAAGCCGACACGAAGAAUAUGAGGGGCAAAGGCAAGAAGACUGCCCAAGCAACUAAGAGGCUGCGACUUAGUUAGACAUGAAACCUGAGAGUCCACCCCACACACGGGAGAAUCGGAUACUUCACUAGAAUUGGUGUUCAUCUUGAAUGUUCAUUGUCAACCCAAUCUUGAUUGUCAACCGUUUUGGCAUAUUUUCAGUGCAACUGCUUACAGUACUUUGGUAGGGUUGUACUGUGUACCUGAUGAGUGGACUACUUAUCUGAUUUCAGUCAUUGAUUGAGUACAUUUAAGUGUACUGACUACUGACAAGCUUCAUUUAUCACACUGAUUGUUCCAAUUGUUU
This 2011-nucleotide long non-coding RNA is filed under the name Oryza sativa Indica Group (long-grained rice). RNAcentral describes it as "lncRNA OsIR64_12g0019320". The record is from RNAcentral. Lineage: Eukaryota; Viridiplantae; Streptophyta; Magnoliopsida; Poales; Poaceae.